Molecule: ribosomal RNA, 1471 nt
Filed under: Massilia sp. DCY122
Lineage: Bacteria; Pseudomonadati; Pseudomonadota; Betaproteobacteria; Burkholderiales; Oxalobacteraceae
Description: bacterial SSU rRNA
Rfam family: Bacterial small subunit ribosomal RNA
Source: RNAcentral
CCGCUCAGAUUGAACGCUGGCGGCAUGCUUUACACAUGCAAGUCGAACGGCAGCGCGGGCUUCGGCCUGGCGGUGCAGUGGCGAACGGGUGAGUAAUAUAUCGGAACGUACCCAGAAGUGGGGGAUAACGUAGCGAAAGUUACGCUAAUACCGCAUACGAUCUACGGAUGAAAGCAGGGGAUCUUCGGACCUUGUGCUUUUGGAGCGGCCGAUAUCUGAUUAGCUAGUUGGUGAGGUAAAGGCUCACCAAGGCGACGAUCAGUAGCUGGUCUGAGAGGACGACCAGCCACACUGGAACUGAGACACGGUCCAGACUCCUACGGGAGGCAGCAGUGGGGAAUUUUGGACAAUGGGGGCAACCCUGAUCCAGCAAUGCCGCGUGAGUGAAGAAGGCCUUCGGGUUGUAAAGCUCUUUUGUCAGGGAAGAAACGGGAGUGGCUAAUAUCCAUUCCUAAUGACGGUACCUGAAGAAUAAGCACCGGCUAACUACGUGCCAGCAGCCGCGGUAAUACGUAGGGUGCAAGCGUUAAUUCGGAAUUACUGGGCGUAAAGCGUGCGCAGGCGGUUUUGUAAGUCUGACGUGAAAUCCCCGGGCUUAACCUGGGAAUUGCGUUGGAGACUGCAAGGCUGGAGUCUGGCAGAGGGGGGUAGAAUUCCACGUGUAGCAGUGAAAUGCGUAGAGAUGUGGAGGAACACCGAUGGCGAAGGCAGCCCCCUGGGUCAAGACUGACGCUCAUGCACGAAAGCGUGGGGAGCAAACAGGAUUAGAUACCCUGGUAGUCCACGCCCUAAACGAUGUCUACUAGUUGUCGGGUUUUAAUUAACUUGGUAACGCAGCUAACGCGUGAAGUAGACCGCCUGGGGAGUACGGUCGCAAGAUUAAAACUCAAAGGAAUUGACGGGGACCCGCACAAGCGGUGGAUGAUGUGGAUUAAUUCGAUGCAACGCGAAAAACCUUACCUACCCUUGACAUGUCAGGAACCUUGGAGAGAUCUGAGGGUGCCCGAAAGGGAGCCUGAACACAGGUGCUGCAUGGCUGUCGUCAGCUCGUGUCGUGAGAUGUUGGGUUAAGUCCCGCAACGAGCGCAACCCUUGUCAUUAGUUGCUACGAAAGGGCACUCUAAUGAGACUGCCGGUGACAAACCGGAGGAAGGUGGGGAUGACGUCAAGUCCUCAUGGCCCUUAUGGGUAGGGCUUCACACGUCAUACAAUGGUACAUACAGAGGGCCGCCAACCCGCGAGGGGGAGCUAAUCCCAGAAAGUGUAUCGUAGUCCGGAUCGUAGUCUGCAACUCGACUACGUGAAGUUGGAAUCGCUAGUAAUCGCGGAUCAGCAUGCCGCGGUGAAUACGUUCCCCGGGGUCUUGUACACACCGCCACAGUCACACCAUGGGAAGCGGGUUUUACCAGAAGUAGGUAGCUUAACCGCAAGGGGGGCGCUUACCACGGUAGGAUUCGUGACUGGGGUGAUC